Gasterosteus aculeatus aculeatus (three-spined stickleback) is the source of this 3411-nucleotide long non-coding RNA. The record is from Ensembl. NCBI's taxonomy places the organism in Eukaryota, Metazoa, Chordata, Actinopteri, Perciformes, Gasterosteidae.
GCCUCUAAAAGCAACAAUACCUGAAUCAGGCAGCAAGAUAAGACAGAGAGAAGACAGAUAGCCAUGGUGUCCGCUGUGGCUGCAGUCCCUGGUGAGGACAGCUCCAAGCUAUCUCCUUGUUUCAGUUUCAUUGCAUUCACAGAAUCACUGGGGAACUAAAGAGGCAACAAAGCAAAGGAUCAACUGGAGGAAUCAAAUUGCCCGAGAAGCAAACUUUGUGAUGGGAUUUCAGUUGAUCUCAACACAAAGACGUUUGGGCGUAGGAGGUGAGGGAGAAGUAAGACUACCGUAGAGCUCCGGGUGUGGGGAGCGAGCGAGGGGUCGCCUUUCCCCUCUGAGGCAUACAGAUGGCGGGGCGGGCCCGCGGAGGACUUGGCGUCGCGCCGCUGACGACUAAACAGCCCAUUCGGCUCAGACGCGCGGUGACGUGCUCAGGAUUUCAACAGCCGCCUGAAACGCUGGAUCCUCGAAGCGGGGCAGGCCCGGUCUCGCCCAGGCUCAGACUUAAACUCUAGAAAAGGGGGAGAGGCCAACACUCAACACUGAAUCCCUGCUGCACUCACAAACCCUCCCCCCCCCGGAGGCAUCGAGACGCCCCACUCGCCUGCUCGGGGGUUCCACCCAGCAUCCAGUUUCAGAUUUAAAAUCUUUAAAACUAAAUAGACUAAACCUAAAGCUUUACUAGAUAGAAACUGUAACAAGUAAGAAUCCCAAUCGAAUGUGAACAAAGGCUGUGUUGUGUGUAUUUGUGUUCUAUAUUUCAGAGCCUUUCUGCAAGGAAAAUCCCAUGUGUUCUGUCCUUCAUUCCACCGGAGUCUGUCUGUUUCACACCAGAUUUCAGUGGUGUGAAGUGUAAGAGACAUGGGGAUACUGCUUCUCAAGCUUGUUCCCCUUGAUUCAAUUAUUCAUCUUUUUGACAAAUGAUACUGUUGUGAUGUAUGGUACUAUAUAUUCUAAUGGAUUUUCCCUGCUAUUUUGUACAAGAUAUAUUUUGCAUGUAUUUCCAUUAAUAAGACAUUGUACUGCGCAACUCACUAAUAUGAAUAAAUAUCUUGACCUUUUGUCCAGUUCUUUAUUUCAACAUCUCAAAUAAUUACGGAGCCAUUAUACCACCCACACGCCGUGGCUGACAUUAGCAAAGAUGUAGAUUUUCAGACUCAGCCCACACAAACAACCUUUACUGUUUGGCAAAUUAAGCUUAUUAAAAAUGUAAAACACGCCCACAGUGUAGCCAACACAAUAAUGCUAUUUAACGUGUUUCUCCCAGCUAGAGAGAGAACUGCAGCAGCACACAUCAAAAUGUGAGAGAGAAAAACAUAUUCACCUCAUAUAUAACAUAUAACCUUCUUAGUUAAAUGUUAGAAGAUGUGAGAUGUGAUAGUGUGAUAGCAAAAGAGGUUUUCCAUUAUAUAUUGUGGCGCAUAGGUAACAGGAAUGAACGUUACAACGUGAAUAGCUGUAUUAUCACAAACAAUUCUCAAAAUAUGUAUAAUAAUGAUUUGCAAUACAUGUCAUCUUAUAUCUAUAUUUGUCUACAUAUAUAUUCAUUGCAAUAUCACACUACUAAAACCGUUAAUGUGAUUAAAAAUGCUGCUUUUUCCUAUAAUUGUAGAUUGAAUAUCUAUACUAAAAAAGUGGUUUGAAACUCAUUUACGGGUUUUUGUUAUAAUUGACAUGCAAUAUUUGACUAAUCAAAGAUUUUCUGAUGCUAUCAUUUACAAAUUGUGUUCCUUAAUUCAAAACACAACGACAUGUAUCUAUCCCGCAUGGUGAUUGGCUGAUUCAGCGAAUCAAAGAAUAAUACUUUGUACUAUUCAAAACAUUCUAGAACUUGUAUUUCAAAGUUUUAAAAAUAAACCUCAUAUACUUUGGGCAGCACGUAUUGAGUCUACACUUCUUCAGCGGACAUGAAAGUUUGGAGUUUAUUUUUCCUCGUCUUUCUGCUUCUGAGUCCAACCCUCGGAGAGGACACAGUUGCAGAUGACAUUGGUGCCCAUCAGCUGAAGCGCUUGGUGGAGUUGCUGACGUCCAAGGAGUGCGAGGACCUUCUGUCCGUCCUCUCCCGCCCCGAGGAAAACAUCUUUCAGCGCGUUGAGCGUCUCUCCCCGGAAACGAAUCAGCUAGAACCUCGAGCCUCGAAACCGCGAGCCAAGAGAGAAGCCUCAACCGCUGCAGGCGAUGAGGCUCGGUGCCGCGCGGGCCUGACGGACUGGAUGCUCAGGCACGGCGAGCAGACCUACUAUGACAGGCUCGCUCGCGCCUUGCAGCACAUCGGCAGAACUGAUGUGGCCGUUGAAGUGGGGAAGAACAUCAACCAGGACAAAGUCCUGAAGAUUAAACGCUACGUUGAAGAUUACCACGAAUAUGUGAAGUCUUUAAACAUCCCGCUGGAACAACCAGCCUCAGAUGACCGACAGCAUGACGCCCACACGGUCAGAAAAAGAAGAGUAAGGCACCUGACAUCCCGUGACCUGGAUCUGGUUGUGGAGCGGUCUCCUGUACCCGUGUACCAGAAGGGAAUUUCGGUUGUAGCUCUGCCCCUUUUGUGGGGCAUCCUGCUGGGCUUCGGAGGGACCUUGAUUUUUGGAACCUCUAUAGUUCUCGCCGUCGUGCACAUCUGGCAUGGAAACCAGCAGAUCCGUCAACCCAGGGACCUGCAGGACGUUUUCUGCAGGACUUGCAGAACAUGCAGGUCCUUGCAGGUGGUAGGCUGCGAUGUAAGCAGCUUAGAGGGUUUAAUGGAAUGAGGAAUACUUGAUGAACUGUUAAGUAAAGGAAAAAAAUACUUAUAUUUCUUUGUGAGGCGUCUCUUUCAUGCUUUCAUGGCUCUUGUUUUCCGACAAUGGAGCAAAAAACCUAAUAUCGAUUCCACCGCACAACUACUAAUUACGACAAACAAGACAAAUAAUUCCAUUUCAUAUGAAGUAAUUAUCCCUGCUGUGUAUUCCUACACUGCUAAGCAUUAUUGCCUUGCCAGUGGGUAGAUGACUAGUGUGACAGAUGCGCUGGAACCCGGCCCUCACACCAAAGGUUGUUCCGGUGUUACUGUGAUAGUGAUGCCACUUUCCAUUUCCCCUGCAAGUGACGGCAACGUGCCCGUCUGGCAUCGAAGAACAACUAAUUAUCCAGCCUGGCUUCUGCUUCCCCCGGAGCCUGCCGAUACCUCCGCAGGCAAUCCAAAAGACUAAUAACAAUGACAAUGCUCGCAGACAACAGAGCAGUCUUGGCGAUGUGAUGGCAGCUGCUGGCAGGUGACAGAAGCCAAGUAUAAAAAUAAAAAAACACAGGGCGAUGCUUUGUUGUUCAACAUGCGAAGAAGGGAGAUGAAAUAAGUUGAUGUGUGAAAUGCCGAAUGCGAGGUAGGUGACCUGGGACGAAAAACUCAAUAAAAGUUAAAGAGAUUAAAAUGAA